CUCCUACCAUGAUUUUAUGGACAUCUUUUCUCAUGUGCUCUUUCUAUCAGCCUUCAGAGGAAGAAACGAAAGCCCAGAGAAGUUGAGGAUCUGGCCCGUAGUCCUGCAGUUUUAGCCUGAGCUUUAACCCAAACCCUGUAACACCAAAUCCAGAGAAAUUGAAAAAAAGAACAAAAAACAAAAGUACCUAGUAUUCUUAAAACUAGGUAUGCCCUAAUCUGUUUGAACUGUAUAGUAUAGUUAGGACACACUGGUCGCAUUUAUCCAGGCAAGCUGCUUUGGUUUAUCCAGUAAAUGCUAGAUCUUAACAUAGGAAAGCACCUAUGAGUUGAUCAGAGCUAGCUCUCUCUGAGCUAUUGGAGGUUUUCUUUUCCUUCCGAAGAGUAAUAAAUUAUAGUGGAAUAUGUAUGAAUGGUAUAGAGAAAGCAUGUAGUACAAAUGCUUCCAUUCCCUUCUAUGUAAUUUAUCAUGGUUUUCUUUUCCAUCGAGCCCUGAGGUUGCUUCAAUAUUCUUCUCAACACAGGACUCCAAGCACCACUACCAAUUGAUCAGAGUUAACAAUUCAAGAUGAAAGCAAUUAUCUUCUCUGGUUUAAAGCUCCCGUUUUCCAAGGUGAAUAUAAGAACAAAGAAUAUCCAAGCAACAACUAGACUAUUCAGACUUGAGAUUCAUACUCAUAUCAUUUUCUCCAUAUUGGCAGUAUCUCAGGGAGCUGACCCCAGAAGAUACAGAAACUAAGGCGUUCGACCUCUUUUAUUGCAACUGCUCCCAUCCUUCCUGCCCGCCCUACCCGCCGGAAACUUAAAAACCCACGCCUGUUGGAAACGCUGUUGGCUGAAGGCAUGUUGCUGAUGCAGGAGAGCAACAGCAGGUUAGCACGAGGCGUUCUCAUUGCAGCAAGGCGCCGCGGCCUGCACCCGGGGCGUUGCUGCUGUGGAGCGAAGCGGCUCUCACUCCCAAUCCCCAGAUACGGAGCGGUGUCAAUACAGAAAUAUUAAGGAGAAAAUUAAUAAUUUAUUUCAAAAAUUCAUUUGCAGCUGCACUUCACUGAAUUAAUUACUUUUCGUCUUUCUCUUCUUAUUCAUUCCUCUCUCUCUUGCUAAUGAUCGAGUUAGAACAAGCAAGAGGAAGCAAGUGGGGUUGGAAGGAGUGGGGGUCUGGUGCUGGCGGAACAGAAAGCACAAAGGAGAACGUGCUGUAACGUGGGUGCCCUAAGGGGCCUGACAGGGGGAAAGGGAUAAGUUAAGCUCAAUCCCAUCUUCUUCGCCCCCAAAGCAAUGGUAAACCACGUUACCAUGUUACACGUUCUACUUAGUAUUUUAGAAGAAGGGAAAAUUAAAUUCCAGCAAGCAAAAGUCCCAAGUUAUUAAAAAGAUUAAUCUGUUGUUUAGCAUUAGAUCUUCUGCGCAAUUCUCUUCCCUGUGUGCUCGUUAAAAUAGUAUAGUCACCCAGACAAAGUGAUCGCAUACUAUUGCUUAAGUGUUAACUGGGCUUGUAUACCGAUUUCCAGAAGCAUUGGGGUAGGCCCGGGCCAUUUUUGCAUAACACUUGCUUAUCACAACUUGCCAGGUGACACUAAGGUAACAUCGUGGCAAGGUUCAAAUCCAUAGCCGUUUUAGUCAUUUUCUAAGCUGGAAUAGAAAAAUCAGUCUGAGAAAUUUUUUUUUUUUUUUUACCAAACCCCAGACAGAGGCAAAGCAGAUUCUUUCUUCCGUGUUCAAAACAUUCAUGGG
Molecule: long non-coding RNA, 1733 nt
Filed under: Felis catus (domestic cat)
Lineage: Eukaryota; Metazoa; Chordata; Mammalia; Carnivora; Felidae
Description: lncRNA (ENSFCAG00000042873.2)
Source: RNAcentral